UGUUGGCGCUGGCUUGCCUGCGAUACAGACACCUCGGUCUUUCUGUCACACCGAGGUGAUGCCAUCGCAGGCAAGCCAGCUCCCACA
RNAcentral lists this unclassified non-coding RNA (87 nucleotides) under Pseudomonas fluorescens. Lineage: Bacteria; Pseudomonadati; Pseudomonadota; Gammaproteobacteria; Pseudomonadales; Pseudomonadaceae. The record is from RNAcentral.